GACGAACGCUGGCGGCGUGCUUAACACAUGCAAGUCGAGCGGUAAGGCCCUUUCGGGGUACACGAGCGGCGAACGGGUGAGUAACACGUGGGUGACCUGCCCUCAGCUCUGGGAUAAGCCUGGGAAACCGGGUCGUAAUACCGGAUAUGACUCCAUGACGCAUGUUGUGGGGUGGAAAGCCUUGUGCGGCUGAGGAUGGGCCCGCGGCCUAUCAGCUUGUUGGUGGGGUGAUGGCCUACCAAGGCGACGACGGUAGCCGGCCUGAGAGGGCGACCGGCCACACUGGGACUGAGACACGGCCCAGACUCCUACGGGAGGCAGCAGUGGGGAAUCUUGCGCAAUGGGCGAAA
This 350-nucleotide ribosomal RNA is filed under the name uncultured bacterium. RNAcentral describes it as "bacterial SSU rRNA". It matches the Rfam family "Bacterial small subunit ribosomal RNA", at positions 28 to 380 of the family's 1533-position model. The record is from RNAcentral.